RNAcentral lists this ribosomal RNA (1553 nucleotides) under Escherichia coli. Its description in RNAcentral is "partial 23S ribosomal RNA". It matches the Rfam family "Bacterial large subunit ribosomal RNA", at positions 1291 to 2825 of the family's 2925-position model. The record is from RNAcentral. Lineage: Bacteria; Pseudomonadati; Pseudomonadota; Gammaproteobacteria; Enterobacterales; Enterobacteriaceae.
CGAAUGCUGACAUAAGUAACGAUAAAGCGGGUGAAAAGCCCGCUCGCCGGAAGACCAAGGGUUCCUGUCCAACGUUAAUCGGGGCAGGGUGAGUCGACCCCUAAGGCGAGGCCGAAAGGCGUAGUCGAUGGGAAACAGGUUAAUAUUCCUGUACUUGGUGUUACUGCGAAGGGGGGACGGAGAAGGCUAUGUUGGCCGGGCGACGGUUGUCCCGGUUUAAGCGUGUAGGCUGGUUUUCCAGGCAAAUCCGGAAAAUCAAGGCUGAGGCGUGAUGACGAGGCACUACGGUGCUGAAGCAACAAAUGCCCUGCUUCCAGGAAAAGCCUCUAAGCAUCAGGUAACAUUAAAUCGUACCCCAAACCGACACAGGUGGUCAGGUAGAGAAUACCAAGGCGCUUGAGAGAACUCGGGUGAAGGAACUAGGCAAAAUGGUGCCGUAACUUCGGGAGAAGGCACGCUGAUAUGUAGGUGAAGUCCCUCGCGGAUGGAGCUGAAAUCAGUCGAAGAUACCAGCUGGCUGCAACUGUUUAUUAAAAACACAGCACUGUGCAAACACGAAAGUGGACGUAUACGGUGUGACGCCUGCCCGGUGCCGGAAGGUUAAUUGAUGGGGUUAGCGGUAACGCGAAGCUCUUGAUCGAAGCCCCGGUAAACGGCGGCCGUAACUAUAACGGUCCUAAGGUAGCGAAAUUCCUUGUCGGGUAAGUUCCGACCUGCACGAAUGGCGUAAUGAUGGCCAGGCUGUCUCCACCCGAGACUCAGUGAAAUUGAACUCGCUGUGAAGAUGCAGUGUACCCGCGGCAAGACGGAAAGACCCCGUGAACCUUUACUAUAGCUUGACACUGAACAUUGAGCCUUGAUGUGUAGGAUAGGUGGGAGGCUUUGAAGUGUGGACGCCAGUCUGCAUGGAGCCGACCUUGAAAUACCACCCUUUAAUGUUUGAUGUUCUAACGUUGACCCGUGAUCCGGGUUACGGACAGUGUCUGGUGGGUAGUUUGACUGGGGCGGUCUCCUCCUAAAGAGUAACGGAGGAGCACGAAGGUUGGCUAAUCCUGGUCGGACAUCAGGAGGUUAGUGCAAUGGCAUAAGCCAGCUUGACUGCGAGCGUGACGGCGCGAGCAGGUGCGAAAGCAGGUCAUAGUGAUCCGGUGGUUCUGAAUGGAAGGGCCAUCGCUCAACGGAUAAAAGGUACUCCGGGGAUAACAGGCUGAUACCGCCCAAGAGUUCAUAUCGACGGCGGUGUUUGGCACCUCGAUGUCGGCUCAUCACAUCCUGGGGCUGAAGUAGGUCCCAAGGGUAUGGCUGUUCGCCAUUUAAAGUGGUACGCGAGCUGGGUUUAGAACGUCGUGAGACAGUUCGGUCCCUAUCUGCCGUGGGCGCUGGAGAACUGAGGGGGGCUGCUCCUAGUACGAGAGGACCGGAGUGGACGCAUCACUGGUGUUCGGGUUGUCAUGCCAAUGGCACUGCCCGGUAGCUAAAUGCGGAAGAGAUAAGUGCUGAAAGCAUCUAAGCACGAAACUUGCCCCGAGAUGAGUUCUCCCUGACUCCUUGAG